Molecule: ribosomal RNA, 406 nt
Filed under: uncultured bacterium
Lineage: Bacteria
Description: partial 16S ribosomal RNA
Rfam family: Bacterial small subunit ribosomal RNA
Source: RNAcentral
GAUGAACGCUAGCUACAGGCCUAACACAUGCAAGUCGAGGGACCGGGACAGGGGAGAGUAACACGUAAAAAAGCUGGCCUGUACUCGGGGACAGCCUUUCGAAAUAAAGAUUAAUACCUGAUGGGAAGGAUGGGGAUGCGUUAGAUUAGGGGGUGGGUUAGGUAACGGCUAACCAAGCCUUCGAUGGAUGGGGGUUCUGAGAGGAAGGCCCACCGCAUGGGAACUGAGACCCGGUCCAAACUGCUACGGGAGGCAGGAGUGAGGAAUAUUGGUCAAUGGGCGCUAGCCUGAACCUGCCAAGUAGCGUGAAGAAUGAAGGCUUAUGGAUCGUAUACUUCUUUUAUAGAAGAAUAUGUAUUAUAUGAAGAAGGAUCGGCUAACUCCGUGCCAGCAGCCGCGGUAAUUC